RNAcentral lists this ribosomal RNA (254 nucleotides) under uncultured bacterium. RNAcentral describes it as "partial 16S ribosomal RNA". It matches the Rfam family "Bacterial small subunit ribosomal RNA", at positions 524 to 776 of the family's 1533-position model. The record is from RNAcentral.
UACGAAGGGGGCUAGCGUUGCUCGGAAUUACUGGGCGUAAAGCGCACGUAGGCGGUCUUUUAAGUCGGGGGUGAAAUCCUGGAGCUCAACUCCAGAACUGCCUUCGAUACUGGAAGACUUGAGUCCGGGAGAGGUGAGUGGAACUGCGAGUGUAGAGGUGAAAUUCGUAGAUAUUCGCAAGAACACCAGUGGCGAAGGCGGCUCUCUGGACCGUAACUGACGCUGAGGCGCGAAAAGCGUGGGGAGCAAACAGG